This 1096-nucleotide small RNA is filed under the name Vigna angularis var. angularis. RNAcentral's name for it is "Non-protein coding transcript". Lineage: Eukaryota; Viridiplantae; Streptophyta; Magnoliopsida; Fabales; Fabaceae. The record is from RNAcentral.
CAAAAUAAAGUUGUAACAGUUGUUUAAAAAAAGCUUUCAAAAGAGCACAAGAUAUUGCAUGGAAAUUUUGUGUCUACUGGGAAUAUACUCAAUUCUGAAAAGGUUGAGGAUUUUCUUAACUCUGAUGAUAUUCAGUGCUUGCAAAGCAGAUUUUGGCUGGUUUGUUCGUCUUUUUGCCUAAUGCGUCACUAAGGAAUGCAAUCCUUGCACGCUACAUAUAUCAAACGCCUUUAAUAGCUUUAUGUUAUUUUUCAUUAUUUUAGUGACUUCUUGUCACUUUGAUAAUUCUAGGCUCUGGUUGCGUCAUUUUAACUUUGAUGCUUCUUGGAGUUGUUUGUUGGAGUCUUGCCAUUUGCUGGAUUAAGAGUUUCAAUGCCGUAUUCUUUUGCUCAUACACUUCAUCAUAGCGUCAUAAAAGAGGUUUCUAACAGGGUUAAGUGAUUCGGUUGGUUGGGGGUGUGGGGGUCCCUUAAAACAUUCCUGGUAGUAUCGAAGAUGGGGUGAACGCUAAAGAUAGAGCGGACGAAUGCUAUGGAUGUACCCUUGUUCAAAGGGCUUCAAGUUGGAGAUCGGGGUGGCGAACCUUAGGGCGGACGGACGCUACUCCAUGCUCUAGGUUGAAGAUUGAGCGGACUUUUUUCCAUGCGCUCCAGGUGGUCGUCCUUUCCCUCCUCCAAGCCGGGCGGGCACCUGUUAAAGGCACUCCGACGCUCAAGUUAGUAAUGUAACCGAACGUCUGAUCAGGGGUGGUCGGUCAGAAUGAUUGGCCUGAAGGUUGGCUCGGCCGGUCGGCUACUAAUUGGACUGACGACGCACUCAGACAGUAGGCUCGGAAGGAGACCAUACGACACCCUGGAUACCGUACGAUACAUUUAAGUAACAAAACUCCUUAGGAUUUAUUUAUAUUCAAAGGAAGUAUUUGAAGUUUAGAAAAGUUUAUUCAUCUCCCGUAUUUAAACAGCUAAGGGUGAUGUAGAUGUAAAAUUGAAACAAAUUUCCACUCCAAAAGAAAAAAAUGGAUUGAAGUGCAAAUUGUUUAAGUAUCUACCCACUCGAGAUUUGAUCUUUUCAAGCAAGAAAAAUGCAGAAUAAAAUA